UACUAGAGUAGCACUCGCAUAUCAAUAAGCGGAGGAAAAGAAACUAACAAGGAUUCCCCUAGUAACGGCGAGUGAAGCGGGAAGAGCUCAAAUUUGAAAUCUUAAAGGGUUUCCCUUUACGAAUUGUAGUUUAAAGAAGUGUUUUCUGUUGAGGUUUUGGUAAAAGUUCUUUGGAAUAGGACAUCAUAGAGGGUGAGAAUCCCGUAUUUGACCUUUACUUUCAACUUUGUGAUACACUUUCAAAGAGUCGGAUUGUUUGGGAAUGCAGUCCAAAAUGGGUGGUAAAUUUCAUCUAAAGCUAAAUAUUGGCGAGAGACCGAUAGCGAACAAGUAGCCGUGAGGGAAAGAUGAAAAGAACUUUGAAAAGAGAGUUAAACAGUACGUGAAAUUGUCAAAAGGGAAGCGUUUGACACCAGUGUUGUUUUUCUGAAAAUCAAUUAAAGAACUGUUUAUGCUAAGCUGUUUAGACUUUAUCAGCUAACUGUUUAGUUUUGAGCUUUUCUUUAAUGCACUUUUCAGUUAACAAGUCAACAUCAAUUUCUUUUGCUGUAAAAAAGCUUGAGGAAGGUGGCUUGAGAUUCGUCUUAAGUGUUUAUAGCCUCUUGCCUAUGCAGUCGGAGAGAUUGAGGUCUGCAGCGUAGAUCCUUCGGGGCUAAAUGCAUUUGUGCUAAGUUAUAACAUUUUAUAGACAACUUGUUGACUAUGAUUUGUCUUGUAGCUUACUCGCUUAUGUUAUUUUACCUACGCUUAGGAUGUUGAGUCAUCACACAUCUCU
This 775-nucleotide ribosomal RNA is filed under the name uncultured Neocallimastigales. Its description in RNAcentral is "partial large subunit ribosomal RNA". It matches the Rfam family "Eukaryotic large subunit ribosomal RNA", at positions 20 to 614 of the family's 3401-position model. Lineage: Eukaryota; Fungi; Neocallimastigomycota; Neocallimastigomycetes; Neocallimastigales. The record is from RNAcentral.